RNAcentral lists this small RNA (77 nucleotides) under Novosphingobium sp. Fuku2-ISO-50. RNAcentral describes it as "Makes More Granules Regulator RNA (mmgR)". It matches the Rfam family "Makes More Granules Regulator RNA (mmgR)". From Rfam's summary of the family: SuhB later renamed mmgR (makes more granules regulator) was a putative non-coding RNA found multiple times in the Agrobacterium tumefaciens genome and related alpha-proteobacteria. Other non-coding RNAs uncovered in the same analysis include: speF, ybhL, metA, and serC. Several studies inSinorhizobium meliloti showed that suhB element is indeed a non-coding RNA:firstly it was detected on Northern blot and called Sm8RNA, secondly in an RNAseq study referred to as SmelC689. Lineage: Bacteria; Pseudomonadati; Pseudomonadota; Alphaproteobacteria; Sphingomonadales; Sphingomonadaceae. The record is from Rfam by way of RNAcentral.
GGAGCAUGCCUUUCAGGCAUCCUCUCCCAAACUUUUCAGGCCGGCCGGGCAACUGGCCGGCCAUUUUUUUGCACGCG